AGUGACAACAAAAGAAAUGGAAGAAUAUCUGAAGCAGAAGAUGGCACUUGGCACUAGAGGACUCAGGUCUCUYUGCAGUAAUGGUUAGACAUCUAACCUGCAGUGAAUGAACUUUGUAAAAUGAAGGAAAACCUUGCCAUCUUCAGAAAGAAUGGUUUUGCUUUCAUGAAACAGGAAGAAAGCAGCUUCAUUUUACAUAAUACAGUGAACUGAAAAAUGUUUUCUUCAUCCUGCUCCACUCUAAACCUAGGUCACUUUCUUCUCCUGCACUGGAAGGAGCACUGUCCCGCUCCCCAUCCUUACGGCUGGCACCACACAACAACCCCAGCACCCACGAGCAGCACUUGUAUAAGAAAGUCCUCUCCUGUUUUCUUCCACAUCUCAGCACCAAACUCCAUCCAAAAUAAGUGAGAUCCAGAGGACCUGCCUGUCAGAUUAACAGGUCUCUGGUGAUCAGACAUGGGCUGGCUGGGAUAUUUGUAACAAAAGUCGAGUCGAUUUGCAGUGUAAUACUAAAA
This 518-nucleotide long non-coding RNA is filed under the name Dromaius novaehollandiae (emu). RNAcentral's name for it is "lncRNA (ENSDNVG00000016343.1)". The record is from RNAcentral. Lineage: Eukaryota; Metazoa; Chordata; Aves; Casuariiformes; Dromaiidae.